RNAcentral lists this transfer RNA (72 nucleotides) under Ovis aries (sheep). It matches the Rfam family "tRNA". Rfam says of the family: Transfer RNA (tRNA) molecules are approximately 80 nucleotides in length. Their secondary structure includes four short double-helical elements and three loops (D, anti-codon, and T loops). Further hydrogen bonds mediate the characteristic L-shaped molecular structure. tRNAs have two regions of fundamental functional importance: the anti-codon, which is responsible for specific mRNA codon recognition, and the 3' end, to which the tRNAs corresponding amino acid is attached (by aminoacyl-tRNA synthetases). tRNAs cope with the degeneracy of the genetic code in two manners: having more than one tRNA (with a specific anti-codon) for a particular amino acid; and 'wobble' base-pairing, i.e. permitting non-standard base-pairing at the 3rd anti-codon position. The record is from Rfam by way of RNAcentral. Lineage: Eukaryota; Metazoa; Chordata; Mammalia; Artiodactyla; Bovidae.
UCCCUGGUGGCUCAGAUGGUAAAGCGUCUGCCUGCAAAGCAGGAGAUGCGGGUUCGAUCCCUGGGUCGGGAA